RNAcentral lists this ribosomal RNA (702 nucleotides) under uncultured bacterium. Its description in RNAcentral is "bacterial SSU rRNA". It matches the Rfam family "Bacterial small subunit ribosomal RNA", at positions 8 to 707 of the family's 1533-position model. The record is from RNAcentral.
AGAGUUUGAUCAUGGCUCAGGACGAACGCUGGCGGCGUGCUUAACACAUGCAAGUCGAACGGUGACGAGGGGCUUGCCCUUCUGAUCAGUGGCGAACGGGUGAGUAACACGUGAGUAACCUGCCCUUCACUCUGGGAUAACGCUGGGAAACUGGUGCUAAUACUGGAUAUGACCUGCUCGGGCAUCCGAUGUGGGUGGAAAGAUUUAUUGGUGGAGGAUGGACUCSCGGCCUAUCAGCUUGUUGGUGAGGUAAUGGCUCACCAAGGCGACGACGGGUAGCCGGCCUGAGAGGGCGAUCGGCCACACUGGGACUGAGACACGGCCCAGACUCCUACGGGAGGCAGCAGUGGGGAAUAUUGCACAAUGGGCGAAAGCCUGAUGCAGCGACGCCGCGUGAGGGAUGAAGGCCUUCGGGUUGUAAACCUCUUUCAGCAGGGAAGAAGCGUCUGGGUUUUCUCAGGUGUGACGGUACCUGCAGAAGAAGCACCGGCUAACUACGUGCCAGCAGCCCGCGGUAAUACGUAGGGUGCAAGCGUUGUCCCGGAAUUAUUGGGCGUAAAGAGCUUGUAGGCGGUUUGUCGCGUCUGCUGUGAAAUUUCGGGGCUCAACCCCGAACUUGCAGUGGGUACGGGCAGACUAGAGUGUGGUAGGGAGASUGGAAUUCCUGGUGUAGCGGUGAAAUGCGCAGAUAUCCAGAGGAAC